AGGUGCGAUCAUACCAGCACUAAUGCACCGGAUCUCAUCAUUACUCAAUAGUUAAGCGUGCUUGGACGAGAGUAGUAAUAGGAUGGGUGAUCUCAUGGGAAUUUCUCGUGUUGCACCUC
This is a ribosomal RNA of Lupinus angustifolius (narrow-leaved blue lupine), 119 nucleotides long. The record is from Rfam. Lineage: Eukaryota; Viridiplantae; Streptophyta; Magnoliopsida; Fabales; Fabaceae.